Molecule: transfer RNA, 68 nt
Filed under: Phalacrocorax brasilianus (Neotropic cormorant)
Lineage: Eukaryota; Metazoa; Chordata; Aves; Suliformes; Phalacrocoracidae
Also listed under: 1 other name
Description: Nannopterum brasilianus (Neotropic cormorant) tRNA-Ser
Source: RNAcentral
GAGGGGGAGAAUCAAAUCAACAAGAACUGCUAAUUCUUGCACCUGAGCCUAAAACCUCAGCCCCCUUA